RNAcentral lists this ribosomal RNA (775 nucleotides) under uncultured bacterium. Its description in RNAcentral is "bacterial SSU rRNA". It matches the Rfam family "Bacterial small subunit ribosomal RNA", at positions 125 to 885 of the family's 1533-position model. The record is from RNAcentral.
CCUACCUUAUAGAUUGGGAUAACUCCGUGAAACCGGGGCUAAUACCGAAUAAUACUUCCUAACACAUGUUUUAAAGUUGAAAGACGGUCUCGGCUGUCACUAUAAUAUGGACCCGCGGCGCAUUAGCUAGUUGGUGAGGUAACGGCUCACCAAGGCAACGAUGCGUAGCCGACCUGAGAGGGUGAUCGGCCACACUGGGACUGACCCACGGCCCACACUAAUACGGGAGGCAGCAGUAGGGAAUCUUCCACAAUGGACGAAAGUCUGAUGGAGCAACGCCGCGUGAGUGAAGAAGGAUUUCGGUUCGUAAAACUCUGUUGCAAGGGAAGAACAAGUAGCGUAGUAACUGGCGCUACCUUGACGGUACCUUGUUAGAAAGCCACGGCUAACUACGUGCCAGCAGCCGCGGUAAUACGUAGGUGGCAAGCGUUGUCCGGAAUUAUUGGGCGUAAAGCGCGCGCAGGUGGUUCCUUAAGUCUGAUGUGAAAGCCCCCGGCUCAACCGGGGAGGGUCAUUGGAAACUGGGGAACUUGAGUGCAGAAGAGGAUAGUGGAAUUCCAAGUGUAGCGGUGAAAUGCGUAGAGAUUUGGAGGAACACCAGUGGCGAAGGCGACUGUCUGGUCUGUAACUGACACUGAGGCGCGAAAGCGUGGGGAGCAAACAGGAUUAGAUACCCUGGUAGUCCACGCCGUAAACGAUGAGUGCUAAGUGUUUGGGGGGUUCCGCCCCUCAGUGCUGCAGCUAACGCAUUAAGCACUCCGCCUGGGGAGUACGG